CUUAUAUUUAGGUUUUGAUCCAUUUGAGUUAAUUUUUUGUACAUGGUGCAGGUAAGGGUCCAACUUCAUUCUUUUGCAUGUAGAUACCCAGUUCUCCCAGGACCAUUUGUUGAAAAGGCAGGCACCUCAUUUUACAGAAGAGGAAACUGAGGCCCAGAAAGAGAAGUGGCAUGCCCAAGGCUGUGCCAGAAGCAAAGUGUAAAAUAGAUCCUGAGCCUCCGACUCCUGGUAAAACCAGCUGCUGAAGAACGUUUUUCCUCUCAAGGCUUUGGCACUUAAGAUUCAACAGUAAGAAGGAUUGAAGAGUGAAGGCUUCCUGGCUACCCCGUGGCAUCCUGUGUUUGGUUUGAAGCGUGAUAAGCCUGGGUUGCUCUUCCAGUCCACCUUGUAAGAGACUGAUGUGGAAAAAUGUGUCUCUUCUCAAGGGCUAACUCUGGAAGCUUGGGAAAAUAUUCUAGAUUUGGAUCACAUUAAAAUGGGUAUUAGACCUAGGUUCUAGUUCCAUCUCUAAGAUCUGGAUAUGUCAAAAUCCUUUUCCCUUUGUAGGUUUUAAGUUUGGCCUCUUUAAAUAAAGAAACAAUCACCCAUGCUUUGUCUUUUAACUUGCUACUUAAAACAAGGAGCUGAAGACACUGGCCAUCAUCAAAUAACUAAUGGACAAUUCCCACUGCCUCGCUGAAAUUUGCAGUCUGACUCUCAUCAUCUCUUGCCUUUUUUUUUUUGCUUUGGCUGUGUUUGUGAAACUGCCUUUGCAAAGAUUAUGAGAGGGAGUCUAGCAUGGCCAACUCCAUCUUGCUUCUAGCCUCAUGGGCUGGCUUCCCUUGCUCAUUCCUAGCCAUAGGCCAAGCUAACCAUGGGAGGAAUUUAGUUUAUAGUUUAACUUUGAAGCAAAGAUGAUACUAUUUUAUCCCUAAAACAGAUCCCUUCCUUGUUCGGGUUCUGAAACCACCUUUGUAAGACUAAUGAAAAGCCACAAGAUUAGGAUUAUGGAAAGGGCCUGAAUCCUGCUCAAAUGGAGGCAUCAUUUCUAUACUUCCUUACUGCUCAGGAGUUAUGUGGCCAAAUGGCACAGAGUUGUGACUUCCUCAAUUGCUCCUGUGGAUAACAUCACUAUUGUAGAACCUAAGGCUGGUCUUUUGAGCUGUUUUUCAGAUUUUUGCAUUCUGGCAACUGAGUGAUGCCUCCCAGACUCAUGACUCAACCAGUCCUAUGGCCUCCACCCAGAGGUGGACUCAGCACAUGAGGACUGUUUUCCUCGCACUUCUGUGAUCUCAUCCCUAACCAAUCAGUAGCACUCAUUCCCUAGCUCCCUGCCCACCAAAUUUUCCAUAAAAAGCCUAGCCUCUGAGCUCUUGGGGAGAUUGACUUGAGUGAUAAACUCCAGUUCUUCUCUAUGGCCAGUCUUGUAUUAAUUAAACUCUUUCUUUACUGCAAUACCAUGGUCUCAGUGAAUGGUUUGAUCUGUGCAGCAUGCAGGAAAAACUCAUCAAUCAAUUACAUUUGUCACUAAGUCCUCUCAGCUGGAGACUCAUCAAUGAUAUUAAAUUUUAAAAAACUACCAAGCGAAUACAAUUCAAGUGGAAGCUCACCUGUGGAGCAAUGGGAACACACUGUUAUUCAACAGGGCUGAAGUCUGAAUCAGAUGCCCGGAGGAGAUACGUUGUCUUGGCUUUGCCACUCACUGGCUAUGUGAUCUUGGAUAAGUCACCUCACUCCUCUUGAUCUCAGCUCCCUCUUCUUUAAGAAAAAAAAUAAAGUAGUGAUAAUUUUAAUAGUCAACAUUUACUGACUGUAAUCUAAAAAUGGGGUUAAGUAAAUUGCAUGCAUUACCUUUAACACAACUGUGACAUAGGAAUUAUUGUAACAUAAACAGCCUCAUAAAAUCUGUAUUUUACAGAUAAGGAAACUAAGUUUCAGAGAUAAUAAGUGGUGGAGCCGGAUUCAAACCCAAGUUCUUAACCACCAAGAUCAUAGCAAUUAUAAAUCAGUUUCAGCUUGAAUUUGAACUCUCUGGAUGCUAGGAUUCAGAAGAGAUGUGACAUCUGUGAAGAACUGAUGGUGUCAGUCUGCCAGGCAUUUAGUUAUAUGAGGAACCCAGAGUGAGGUUAGCAUCAGGGAGUCACUGGUUCUAGAGCAGAGGGAAGAUUCUAUUUACUUUUGAUGUUGGUCACUACAAAGUUAUGGUGCCAGCAAGAGAGCAAAGUAAAAACAAAAAGGCCUGGGAUAUUAGUAUGCAGGUCAUCUGGAGAAUUGGUGCCAGCAUCUUCUGUAGUAAUUGAUGAGGAUGCCCCAUCAUUGACAUCAACGACGUUGACAGUGGACACUGGCAGGAAUUGAAUGCCUUGAGCAGACACCAGUCACAGUGUCGGCAGUGGCUGGGAGUCAUUACCCCCAAUGUGCCACGGCCGGAGGGGAUAAAUGCAGCAGAUGUCACAUGGCAGCCCAGAGGAGCAGUUUGCAGAGCACAUGUGAGAAACCCUCUGAGGAUACCCAGGAGACACCACGGGAGACAGAAACCCAGGACUGUACUUGAAUGAAAUUCGAGAGAGAGCUUACAUUUCUAUAGAACAGAAGUGUAUCUUCCUGAAGAAAUUUUGUGUUUGCUCUUGAGAUCCUAUUUUUACCCUCAGACUUGGGUGGUCUGAAAAAUGUAGGUUACUGAUGAGAUGGAAGGGUGCGACUCCACAGUGCUCUGCAAGGGUCUUUCACUUUGCCUCAUGAUUCCCAGAAUUACAGCAUUUCAAACUCCAUUGACAGAAACACCAGGGCUGGCAAAUGCAGUGCAGAUCCAUUGGUGAGUCUUGAAAGGAUUUCUGAUGCUAAUUUGUUGCCCUUGGGACUAACUGGAGUUAAAUUAUGAUUAUUCCUAAUGUGGUGGUCCCAGUACUGUUUGGCGAGGAACGUGAAUACUUUCUCUAACUGGCCACAGUGCUCUCCAGGGAAAGAUGUUUGAUCUGGGGCACUGAGGCAUUCUUCCCUGCUGAUUGUUGGGAAAUGCAGCUCCUCUGUGGAAAGGGGCUUUGCUGCCAUCGUAUUGAGGUAAGUGCCUAUAGGGAAGAGAGGUGAAGUGGGGGAGACGUAGACCACAUUCCUCCUACCAGGAAAAAGGGGCUGGCUUCUUUCUGAGAACUGCUUUCUGCUGGGAAGGGGCUGGAUGAGCCAUGUAACCCCACCUUUUGCUUGGAAAUGAAGAGCUUUCCCACUCCAGAGGAAGGAGAGGGGAGGAGAGGAGGGAAAGGGCUGCAGAGCAUGUUCCUCCCGUUCCCUCUCAAGCAGAAAGGAAAGCUGUCUUCAAUUAGGAAGGGGAAGGAGAUUCAAAACAUCUGGCGGGAAAAGUGCUGGUUCUGGAGGGUCUUUGGGAGGAGGAUGGAGGCUUGUGGACAGCGCGCCUGCCUUGCUGGACCUGACACAGCCCUCUGAGAGUCUGUCACCACCUCUUCCUCUUCAGCUCUGUCUGGUCUCCUUGUGAGGCUGAGCCUUUGGCUGCCUCCUGCCCUGGGCUAAAGGAAGCAGUAACAGCAGCCACAACCUGGGCAGCACAGCCCACAGCUUUCUCCUCGGGGGUCAAUGGGUAAUUUGCACAACAGAGAGACCACCCACGGAGGCAGUACAGAGUUCACAACCUCUAGCACUUAGGCAUCUAAUCAGUUUGGUUUUGCCUGUGGAGAGCUUCCCCUUGAAUCUCAAAGCUACCAAGCUGCCUUCCUCCCCAUCCUUUAAAAUACUUCCAGGCUCCCAUCUCCUCUUAGGAGCCUUCUUGAAAUAUUUGCAGAAACUUUAUAUUCCUCCUCCCCAACCACAUACACAAUGUCACAGCUGCCUCUUCCAUUUGCUUGCAUCUCCUGUGGACUGCUCACCUUCUCCACCCCAAGCAAAGCAGAUGGCUGAGGGACAUUCAGGUUGCUUACAGAGCUGUGGAAAAUUCUCUGGAAAUCACCUGCCUGUCCUAGAGACCCCAGGUUUCCCAGGAGUCACAAGGCACCAAAGCCUGGAGGUUCCUUAAAGAUCACCUGCUGGGUGGGAUUUACUACAUUCCCCAGGAGGUCACGGCCCAGGGCCUCUGAUCAGGAUUUCCUUUGGGGUGGGCAGAUUGGGUGUGGAAAGGAGGCCAGGAAAGGCCUUUUGGUUUUCUCAAUGACUGACAGAGCAGAGGGGUGAUCUGAGAAGGAGCUGGGCAUUCCAGGAUUGUGCAAAUGUGGGCCCAGCAUCUGUUUUCCAUUAGCCUCUUUCAUUGAAACAUGGUAGUCUCUUAUGAGUUUAAAGUUUGUAUUAAGCAUCCAGGCCCUAGAAAGUUCUUUGUUUCAUGGAAGGUGAACUCCCCAUCCCACUUAAAAGCCAUGGAAUUGUGUGCCAUAUCCCAAAGGAGCACCCAUUCAAAGGCACAUGCCAAAGCUUUAUCCCUGCCCUAUGGGCCAUGAUGGCUCCUGAGACUUCCAGCCAUGAUGGCAAGAAGCAGUUGACUAUCACUCCUAAACCUCAG
RNAcentral lists this long non-coding RNA (4480 nucleotides) under Homo sapiens (human). RNAcentral's name for it is "HSALNT0047160". Lineage: Eukaryota; Metazoa; Chordata; Mammalia; Primates; Hominidae. The record is from RNAcentral.